Small nucleolar RNA from Hibiscus syriacus, 94 nucleotides. RefSeq annotates it as small nucleolar RNA R44/J54/Z268 family. The transcript has a single exon. NCBI's taxonomy places the organism in Eukaryota, Viridiplantae, Streptophyta, Magnoliopsida, Malvales, Malvaceae. The record is from RefSeq and is a predicted model, not a curated record.
AGUGCAAGUGAUGACAGAAAUAGACAGGGACUCUGCACUCCCAUCUCUGGGUGUUUGAUGACUUCGUCUUUAAUGGGAAUCUCUCUGAUGCACA